RNAcentral lists this long non-coding RNA (1999 nucleotides) under Volvox carteri. Its description in RNAcentral is "long non-coding RNA (VCAR_LNC000938)". Lineage: Eukaryota; Viridiplantae; Chlorophyta; Chlorophyceae; Chlamydomonadales; Volvocaceae. The record is from RNAcentral.
GAUACAAUAAUUAACAGAUGUCGUGUUUCAACUUGGCAUAUUUCUGGCCCAAGUUAUCGCUUUUGCUGGCAGAAGUCCAGGUACGGCCAUAUCAGGCGUUUUUCCUGUAUGAACGCUAAGUGUCUUUUUCAUUUCUAAGCAGAUGUCAUUACAAUUAACUUGGUUCUCCCUACCUACCUGAUCUGUUGGGCCUCAAAGGUACGGUGUGCAAUUUAACCGUAUAGGCCGCACCUUGCGUGGUGGUAGGAAUAUUCUUCUUCCUCCUCCAGCGGCGGAGAAGAUUAUAGUUUUACACAACAUUUAUUUUUGGAUAAGUGUUACGGAGUAAGGUGAAUGCAAGUGCAUUAUGGCCCGCACUGAGCAGGGAAUGCUACAGGUAAAGUUUUUCUUUGCAGGCAUACUGUAUAUUGAUAGGCUGCAUAUCGGUCGUUGAAUCCUGUGCCUGGUUGGUGAAUUCGUGAUGGUCUGAGACUUCGUUUUGGUGAGGCCGAAACGUGCCCGUUCAAUGAGGAGGGCCAACGGCAGCGUAUAACAUUCACGAAGUAUCGGGGGAUGCAUGCCACUUAUGUUGCUGGAUACGUUGGUCGUGCGCAACAGUGCGCAACUGUCUGGCGGUGCACUGUUGGUAUUCGUGAUGAUGUUUUGGUGUUCCGACCCCAAUGAGUACACUUAAUUAUGACAUGUAAACUGAAUACUUCCAUCUAUUCUGUAAUUUCCAACUUCCGCAGGCGGAAUACCCAGUGCGAACUCGCUCAGGGCUCCUCAGGCAUCCGGGCACGGUUUCCGUGCUGUAAACAAUAGAUACCGGCACGCAGAUCACCUACUUUAUCUUGCAAAGCAGAGUUGGUUUCCUACCAGGUCAUGGUUCACCUGGUAAGGAGGAAGGACCUAUCAGAAAACUAUCAAAUUAGCAGGACAGAUGCCCUAGCCUGGGCACUCACAAAAGAAGACAGAGUAGAAUCAUGAAGGCAACCCAAAAUUAAUGUCUCAAUGCUGCUUAAGAGCUAAGGGACAAGCCACACAUGGCCGCAUGAGUUCAUGGGAGAAGUAGUUAAGCAAGACUGAAGCUCAUAAUCAGUCUGUGGGUAAUCUUCUUACGAGCGUUUCGGCAUAUAAAGUAAUAAAUCUUUAGUAAAAAAAUACAUUUUGAUCCUUGAUGUGCUUUUGUCUUUCGCAUGUCUGCUGUACAACCGGAAUAAGCCGACCAAAUUCCAUCUGUUAGGCAGCACUCGACGGGAUGACAAAAAUAUUCUCACACAAUGCUCGCUAUGGUGUAAAUCUUUUACCAGGAGGUUGCGGAUGAGUGGCCGAUUUCUGGAAUCGGCGCAGGAAGGAGGAAUGGGGUCGAAGGCCCCCUACCCUGAGGCUUUUGCCAAAACUUAUUAUAUUAAUACAUUUGCGUAUUUGUCUCUAGUUAAAAUGAUUUGAGGCCUUUUACCUUUUCAGGCAAAGGCGGUUGAGUCUAAAAGUACGGAGCAGAGGCCUUUUGCGUGAUAAGGCUUGUUAAAAGUUAAACUCGACACAGGUUGUUGUGGCCUAGAUAUGCGCUACCCGCACGAUGCCAGGCGCGAAUAUGCCAUGCAGGAUUGCCGACCAUGUCCUGGUCGCAAUAAAUACUAACUAUAUUGACAAAUGUACAAACUUUAUCUCUGCAUAACACUGCUGCUGGUCAUGCGUGGGGUCGCACCUAUCCGGAAAGCAACUGGAGCACUUGGGGUCGCGAAGAAAGUCGAACCUAACAGGUUGCUGGCACUCUCAUAGCUCGGCGAAACCAAGUAAUGCUUUGCAUAGCGCAAAAUUUUACCAGGUAAGAGCGGGCGUCGCAGUUUAUGAAAUGCUCCGCUUUCGUUUUGUGGAAAGAUAGGCCGCACUUUGUAUCCACUCGGCACCAGUAGCAGAAUUAUUUUGGGACUAUACAUGACAUCUGAACGAUGAGUUAAUAUAAGUAAAUUGAGAUUUGUAUACACGACAUGCCUUUGGCUUCGGGGCAAACUGCCUG